This 506-nucleotide ribosomal RNA is filed under the name uncultured bacterium. RNAcentral describes it as "bacterial SSU rRNA". It matches the Rfam family "Bacterial small subunit ribosomal RNA", at positions 15 to 507 of the family's 1533-position model. The record is from RNAcentral.
GAUCAUGGCUCAGGAUGAACGCUAGCUACAGGCUUAACACAUGCAAGUCGAGGGGAAACGACAUCGAAAGCUUGCUUUUGGGUGGGCGUCGACCGGCGCACGGGUGAGUAACGCGUAUCCAACCUGCCCACCACUUGGGGAUAACCUUGCGAAAGUAAGACUAAUACCCAAUGAUAUCCCACGAAGGCAUCCGAAUGGGAUUAAAGAUUUAUCGGUGAUGGAUGGGGAUGCGUCUGAUUAGCUUGUUGGCGGGGUAACGGCCCACCAAGGCAACGAUCAGUAGGGGUUCUGAGAGGAAGGUCCCCCACAUUGGAACUGAGACACGGUCCAAACUCCUACGGGAGGCAGCAGUGAGGAAUAUUGGUCAAUGGGCGAGAGCCUGAACCAGCCAAGUAGCGUGCAGGAUGACGGCCCUAUGGGUUGUAAACUGCUUUUAUAAGGGAAUAAAGUGAGUCUCGUGAGACUUUUUGCAUGUACCUUAUGAAUAAGGACCGGCUAAUUCCGUG